UACAGAGGUGGCAAGCGUUGUUCGGAAUUACUGGGCGUAAAGGGCGCGUAGGCGGCCAUCUAAGUCAGACGUGAAAUCCCCCGGCUUAACCUGGGAACUGCGUCUGAUACUGGACGGCUUGAGUAUGGGAGAGGGAUGUAGAAUUCCAGGUGUGGCGGUGAAAUGCGUAGAUAUCUGGAGGAAUACCGGUGGCGAAGGCGGCAUCCUGGACCAUUACUGACGCUGAGGCGCGAAAGCUAGGGGAGCAAACGGG
Molecule: ribosomal RNA, 253 nt
Filed under: uncultured bacterium
Lineage: Bacteria
Description: partial 16S ribosomal RNA
Rfam family: Bacterial small subunit ribosomal RNA
Source: RNAcentral